RNAcentral lists this ribosomal RNA (653 nucleotides) under uncultured bacterium. RNAcentral describes it as "bacterial SSU rRNA". It matches the Rfam family "Bacterial small subunit ribosomal RNA", at positions 81 to 769 of the family's 1533-position model. The record is from RNAcentral.
UCGGGAACUGGAGAGUGGCGCACGGGUGAGUAACGCGUGGGGACCUACCUUUUAGUGGGGGAUAACGGUUGGAAACGACCGCUAAUACCGCAUACGCCCUUCGGGGGAAAGAUUUAUCGCUAAAGGAUGGACCCGCGUUGGAUUAGAUAGUUGGUGAGGUAACGGCUCACCAAGUCAGCGAUCCAUAGCUGGUUUGAGAGGAUGAUCAGCCACACUGGGACUGAGACACGGCCCAGACUCCUACGGGAGGCAGCAGUGGGGAAUAUUGGACAAUGGGGGCAACCCUGAUCCAGCCACGCCGCGUGAGUGAAGAAGGCCUUCGGGUUGUAAAGCUCUUUCAGAUGUGGAGAUGAUGACGGUAGCAUCAGAAGAAGCCCCGGCUAAUUUCGUGCCAGCAGCCGCGGUAAUACGAAAGGGGCAAGCGUUGUUCGGAUUUACUGGGCGUAAAGGGCACGCAGGCGGUCUUGUCAGUCAGAGGUGAAAGCCCUGGGCUCAACCCAGGAACUGCCUUUGAUACUGCAGGACUUGAGACUAGGAGAGGGUGGUGGAAUUCCCAGUGUAGAGGUGAAAUUCGUAGAUAUUGGGAGGAACACCAGAGGCGAAGGCGGCCACCUGGACUAGAUCUGACGCUCAGGUGCGAAAGCGUGGGGAGC